RNAcentral lists this transfer RNA (74 nucleotides) under bacterium. RNAcentral describes it as "tRNA-Arg". It matches the Rfam family "tRNA". From Rfam's summary of the family: Transfer RNA (tRNA) molecules are approximately 80 nucleotides in length. Their secondary structure includes four short double-helical elements and three loops (D, anti-codon, and T loops). The record is from RNAcentral. RNAcentral also lists the same sequence under 2 other names.
GCGCGUGUAGCCCAGCUGGAUAGAGCGUUUGGCUACGAACCAAAAGGUCGGGGGUUCGAAUCCCUCCACGCGUA